RNAcentral lists this unclassified non-coding RNA (370 nucleotides) under uncultured Sphingobacteriales bacterium. Its description in RNAcentral is "contains 16S-23S intergenic spacer region". Lineage: Bacteria; Pseudomonadati; Bacteroidota; Sphingobacteriia; Sphingobacteriales. The record is from RNAcentral.
UCCACGUUUCCGUGGCAGUCCCGCUAGAGUGCUCCAUAACGGAUAGCAACUAACGGCAAGGGUUGCGCUCGUUGCGCCACUUAAGGCAACACCUCACGGCACGAGCUGACGACAACCAUGCAGCACCUCUACCGACGUCCCUUGCGGGAAGGAUCCUUUCAGAUCCGGUCACUAACUUUCAAGCCCUGGUAAGGUUCCUCGCGUAUCAUCGAAUUAAACCACAUGCUCCUCCGCUUGUGCGGGCCCCCGUCAAUUCCUUUGAGUUUCACCGUUGCCGGCGUACUCCCCAGGUGGAUUACUUAUCGCUUUUGCUAAGCCACUAAAAGUUGCCCUCUAGCAGCGAGUAAUCAUCGUUUACAGUGCGGACUAC